This is a non-coding RNA of Heterocephalus glaber (naked mole-rat), 72 nucleotides long. The record is from Rfam. Lineage: Eukaryota; Metazoa; Chordata; Mammalia; Rodentia; Bathyergidae.
GUGGGUGUGGCUCAGUGGUAGAACAUGUGCCCAGAAUGCGUGAGGCCCUGGGUUCAAUCCCCAGCACUACCA